Chiroxiphia lanceolata (lance-tailed manakin) is the source of this 488-nucleotide long non-coding RNA. RefSeq lists it as uncharacterized. The transcript has 4 exons. The record is from RefSeq and is a predicted model, not a curated record. Lineage: Eukaryota; Metazoa; Chordata; Aves; Passeriformes; Pipridae.
GCUAUGGGAGACUCCUGAGGACAAAAUAUUGAAGAGACUAACAUGUGUGAGAGAGCUACAGGGGCAACUUUUAGCACAGUGUGUAACUGAGAGUGUGGAAUGCGCUGCAGACAACCACGACACAAAGCCAUGUCCCUCCCUGGCUUCCUGGAGGAAGAGGAUGCUUUUGACACUGCUGACAGAAUAGCUCUUCACUGCAGGACAGCAGCUUUACCACACUCCAAAUGCUAUUCCUGAUUCAUCCUUUCAGAAAUAUCCAUGCACAAAUCCCACAGCACUGAUGUUUUUAUGCUUAAAGAGGGUACAGUAUUUCCUCACUUUCCUCCUCUGCUGCCACCACGUGGACAUGUCUCAGUGUUCAUUUAAGUUUUUAGCAGGACAAUAGCCCUGCCUCCAUAGAUCACAAGUGAUCCUGUAUACUAAGGAGAAAUCCAGGACCCACAACUGUUUGGGAUUGCCAUAAUUUUCACCAUCAAAAUACCUGUUGC